Molecule: ribosomal RNA, 568 nt
Filed under: uncultured Candidatus Poseidoniales archaeon
Lineage: Archaea; Methanobacteriati; Thermoplasmatota; Candidatus Poseidoniia; Candidatus Poseidoniales
Description: bacterial SSU rRNA
Rfam family: Archaeal small subunit ribosomal RNA
Source: RNAcentral
AAUGCGAGCAAUCGUGACCAGGGAACUCCAAGUGGCUGGGGUAAUACCCAGUUUUUUCUUGACUCUUCAAAGGUCUUGGAAUAAGGGGUGGGUAAGGACGGUGCCAGCCGCCGCGGUAAUACCGGCGCCUCAAGUGGUAGUCGCUUUUAUUGGGCCUAAAACGUCCGUAGCCGGUCUGGUGCAUUCGUGGGUAAAUCAACCCGCUCAACGGGUUGAAUUCUGCGAGCACGGCCAGACUUGGGACCGGGAGAGGUGUGGGGUACUCUCAGGGUAGGGGUAAAAUCCUGUCAUCCUGAGAGGACCACCUGUUGCGAAGGCGCCACACUAGAACGGAUUCGACGGUCAGGGACGAAACCUAGGGGCACGAACCGGAUUAGAUACCCGGGUAGUCCUAGGUGUAAACGCUGUGGACUUGAUGUUGGGGGUGCUCCGAGCACCCUCAGUGUCGAAGCGAAGGUGAUAAGUCCACUGCCUGGGGAGUACGGUCGCAAGGCUGAAACUUAAAGGAAUUGGCGGGGGAGCACUGCAACCUGAGGAUUGUGCGGUUUAAUUGGACUCAACGCCGGGA